UAUGGUAAUAAUAAAUCUUUUAUUUCUGUUGGCUUCUCCCAAACUACCAUUUCCCCCUCAUGUUCUGACAUACUUCUUCACUGCUAGCUUGCUGUGUGAACCUUCAGUCCAUUUUAAAUUACCUAAGUAAUUAUAUGUAAUUUCUUUUCUUUUUUUUUUCUUUUUCUUUGAGACAGAGUCUCAUUCUGUCGCCCAGGCUGGAGUACAGUGGUGCAAUCUCGGCUCACUGCAACCUCCGCCUCCCGGGUUCAACCGAUUGUCCUGCCUCAGCUUCCCGAGUAACUGGAACAACAGGCGCCCGCCACCUCGCCUGGCUAAUAUUUGUAUUUUUAUUAGAGACGGGGUUUCACCAUAUUGGCCAGGCUGCUCUCAAACUCUUGACCUCGUGAUCCACCAGCCUCGGCCUCCCAAAGUGUGGGGAUUACAGGCUUGAGCCACUGCACCCGGCCUGUAAUUUCUAUCUCUGAAAGAUCGGUCUGCACCAUUGUCUGGAAAUUUUGUUUGCUGAAGCAGUUGCUGUAGUCCUUCAUCCCCUUCACCGUGGCUGCUCUUCCUGUAUAUGGAUAUGGAUGCUUUACUGCUGUGCUUGUAUCCAAGCUGGCACUGGAUCGUGCAUAUCUUAUGCUGACUGAAGGUAAUAUAUGGCAGGUCAAAACAGAGAGUCUUUGAAUCCCUUGCUCCAAGCAGAGCUUGAAAUUAAUAGGGCAUCUUGAAUCAAUGAACUGACAUCAUUUGUAAGUUUUGGGAAACCCUCAACAUUUAUUUCUUUAAACAUGAUUCUGCUUCAUUUUGCUUUUGAGACAUUUUCCCUCUCUUUUUCUUUGAUUCCACUUAAGCAUAUGUUUGACCUAUCACUAUGCUGUCUAUGAAUUUAACCCCCUUAUCUCUAUUUCCUACCCUUUGUUUCUCUGUGUCUCAUUGAGAAUUUUUUUUGACCUAUUGAUCUUUUCAUGAGCUUUUUCUUCAGUUUUAUCUAAUAUGUUGCUAAAACCAGAGAUUUUGAGUUCUAAGAUAUUUUUUUCAAAUAUGUAAAUUUUUAAUACAAUUAUCUGUCAAUGCUUUUUAAAUUUUGUCUUUUAUUUCCUGGUACAUAGUCAUAUGAUUCUUUUAUUAUCUGCUUUUGAUUAUUUCAACAUUUGAAGUCCCUAUGGACACCAUUCUAUUGGGCCUUUUUCUUUUCUUUUCUUUCUUUUUUCUUGCUGGCUCUUUUUGAAUUUAUAACUUCUUGUUCUUGAUUAUCUUUGAUUGUGAACUGAAAUUUGUAGUUUGGAAAAGUAUUUGUAGAAAUUAUUUUAUGCCUACAGUGAUGUUAUCUUCCUCCAGAGAGAAUGCAUGUUUCUUUUAAAUUGAUAUUUGUAAGCAUUAGAAAUUUUGAAUAACAGUCAACCUCUUU
RNAcentral lists this long non-coding RNA (1393 nucleotides) under Homo sapiens (human). RNAcentral's name for it is "HSALNT0071876". The record is from RNAcentral. Lineage: Eukaryota; Metazoa; Chordata; Mammalia; Primates; Hominidae.